RNAcentral lists this unclassified non-coding RNA (357 nucleotides) under uncultured bacterium. RNAcentral describes it as "contains 16S-23S intergenic spacer region". The stretch from base 1 to 125 matches the Rfam family "5.8S ribosomal RNA", at positions 30 to 154 of the family's 154-position model. The record is from RNAcentral.
GCAUCGAUGAAGAACGCAGCGAAAUGCGAUAAGUAAUGUGAAUUGCAGAAUUCAGUGAAUCAUCGAAUCUUUGAACGCAACUUGCGCUCUCUGGUAUUCCGGAGAGCAUGCCUGUUUGAGUGUCAUGAAAUCUCAACCAUUAGGGUUUCUUAAUGGCUUGGAUUUGGACGUUUGCCAGUCAAAUGGCUCGUCUUAAAAGAGUUAGUGAAUUUAACAUUUGUCUUCUGGCGUAAUAAGUUUCGCUGGGCUGAUAGUGUGAAGUUUGCUUCUAAUCGUCCGCAAGGACAAUUCUUGAACUCUGGCCUCAAAUCAGGUAGGACUACCCGCUGAACUUAAGCAUAUCAAUAAGCGGAGGAC